AAUUGUGCUUAGAAUUUAAACGUGUUGCAAGACUUAUGUGCUUAGGAAAGUGUUUAAUUUCUAAACAUAAAAAAAUAAACAUGUUUUGGCUCUCAGCACUUCGCAAUAAACAUGUUUUGGCUCUCAGCACUUUUCAAUAAACAUGUUGCUAUGCUAAACAUGUUUAGCUACUUUGUCAAGUAUAUAAAGCUAAACGUGUUUAAAUUCUAAGCACUUUCAAUAUUUAGACACUUUCCUAAACACGUUUAGAAUUACAACACAUUUAGGCCGAAUACGGCAUUCAUAUCACGUGCUAAUUUUUGAGCGGGAAGAAGAAACAAAGAACCCGAAGUCAAAGGCCACGCUGUUUACUUCUGACCAUAACUGACCGUAACUUGACUGUUUCAGAAAGAUGAGAGAAGUGCAGAAGAAAUCAUCAUCCGUCUUGGCAUGCUAAAAGAGGAGACAAAGAACAGUAGCAAAUAUGCUGCUAGGCCAUUGACCAGCAGUUGGGUACUAAGAAAGGAGAAGCUCUUAUUGACCUGUAAAAUGAAAACAGGACAUUUUCAAAUUGUUUUGUUGUAGGGAUGGGGUACAAGUAGAAGAUUGGUCAAUAUUAUGUACAUGUACCUUGAUAUGAAUUUAUUUUUGAUUGUGUUCAAUGAUAAACUGGAAAUAAAUGAUAACAUAAAUUC
This is a long non-coding RNA of Mytilus californianus (California mussel), 674 nucleotides long. RefSeq lists it as uncharacterized. The transcript has 3 exons. NCBI's taxonomy places the organism in Eukaryota, Metazoa, Mollusca, Bivalvia, Mytilida, Mytilidae. The record is from RefSeq and is a predicted model, not a curated record.